This 674-nucleotide ribosomal RNA is filed under the name uncultured bacterium. Its description in RNAcentral is "bacterial SSU rRNA". It matches the Rfam family "Bacterial small subunit ribosomal RNA", at positions 66 to 743 of the family's 1533-position model. The record is from RNAcentral.
GGUAUAGGUUUUCGGACCUAGAGACCGGCGCACGGGUGCGUAACGCGUAUGCAAUCUACCUUUCACAGAGGGAUAGCCCAGAGAAAUUUGGAUUAAUACCUCAUAGUAUAACGACUCGGCAUCGAGAUGUUAUUAAAGUCACAACGGUGAAAGAUGAGCAUGCGUCCCAUUAGCUAGUUGGUAUGGUAACGGCAUACCAAGGCGACGAUGGGUAGGGGUCCUGAGAGGGAGAUCCCCCACACUGGUACUGAGACACGGACCAGACUCCUACGGGAGGCAGCAGUGAGGAAUAUUGGACAAUGGGCGCAAGCCUGAUCCAGCCAUGCCGCGUGCAGGAUGACGGUCCUAUGGAUUGUAAACUGCUUUUGCACAGGAAGAAACACUGAUUCGUGAAUCAGCUUGACGGUACUGUGAGAAUAAGGAUCGGCUAACUCCGUGCCAGCAGCCGCGGUAAUACGGAGGAUCCAAGCGUUAUCCGGAAUCAUUGGGUUUAAAGGGUCCGUAGGCGGUUUGGUAAGUCAGUGGUGAAAGCCCAUCGCUCAACGGUGGAACGGCCAUUGAUACUGCUAAACUUGAAUUAUUAGGAAGUAACUAGAAUAUGUAGUGUAGCGGUGAAAUGCUUAGAGAUUACAUGGAAUACCAAUUGCGAAGGCAGGUUACUACUAAUGGAUUGA